Long non-coding RNA from Schistocerca americana (American grasshopper), 541 nucleotides. RefSeq lists it as uncharacterized. NCBI's taxonomy places the organism in Eukaryota, Metazoa, Arthropoda, Insecta, Orthoptera, Acrididae. The record is from RefSeq and is a predicted model, not a curated record. The transcript is spliced from 3 exons.
AAACGGCAAGUACCCUUGACGAGAGGCUGUCCGCUUGAUUGCUAGAACGCAGUGUAGAUUCUACACCAUGUGGAGAAGAAUCUGCAGUCACGGACAAACUUCAACAUCAGAACCGCAAGAUGAGGUUGCAUUUACAGUUCUCCAGAUGACUCGCCGAAUAUUACGGUGUCUGCAACCAGCAAAAAGUUAUCAGAAGAAUUUGAGAAAGACAGACAGUGUGAGAAGCAGCUGUCGGAGAAUAUCCAAAGUAGGCAUGCGGAAGAGACAAAACAAUUAGUAAACUCAUUUUUAAGUGGCCUUCACACCAUUAGUGGGCAGAACACUCGACCCCACUUCAUGCCCUACCAGCAAACACCACAGUUCCUUCCACAGACUGGUUUUCUCCAACCCGAUCCCCUUCCCCAUCCACCUCCGGUUACAGACAGUGAGCUUUCUGUACACUGUAAAUUGAAGUACAGCAAAUUAAAAAAAGUUCUUGAAAUUUUACAUUUUCAUUUCAUAACUACCAAAUUUGAUCUGAUUUAUACACACUUAAUUACAA